CUUGACGAACGCUGGCGGCGUGCCUAAUACAUGCAAGUAGAACGCUGAAGAGAGGAGCUUGCUCUUCUUGGAUGAGUUGCGAACGGGUGAGUAACGCGUAGGUAACCUGCCUUGUAGCGGGGGAUAACUAUUGGAAACGAUAGCUAAUACCGCAUAACAAUGGAUGACCCAUGUCAUUUAUUUGAAAGGGGCAAAUGCUCCACUACAAGAUGGACCUGCGUUGUAUUAGCUAGUAGGUGAGGUAACGGCUCACCUAGGCGACGAUACAUAGCCGACCUGAGAGGGUGAUCGGCCACACUGGGACUGAGACACGGCCCAGACUCCUACGGGAGGCAGCAGUAGGGAAUCUUCGGCAAUGGGGGCAACCCUGACCGAGCAACGCCGCGUGAGUGAAGAAGGUUUUCGGAUCGUAAAGCUCUGUUGUAAGUCAAGAACGAGUGUGAGAGUGGAAAGUUCACACUGUGACGGUAGCUUACCAGAAAGGGACGGCUAACUACGUGCCAGCAGCCGCGGUAAUACGUAGGUCCCGAGCGUUGUCCGGAUUUAUUGGGCGUAAAGCGAGCGCAGGCGGUUUGAUAAGUCUGAAGUUAAAGGCUGUGGCUCAACCAUAGUUCGCUUUGGAAACUGUCAAACUUGAGUGCAGAAGGGGAGAGUGGAAUUCCAUGUGUAGCGGUGAAAUGCGUAGAUAUAUGGAGGAACACCGGUGGCGAAAGCGGCUCUCUGGUCUGUAACUGACGCUGAGGCUCGAAAAGCGUGGGGGAGCGAACAGGAUUAGAUACCCUGGUAGUCCACGCCGUAAACGAUGAGUGCUAGGUGUUGGAUCCUUUCCGGGAUUCAGUGCCGCAGCUAACGCAUUAAGCACUCCGCCUGGGGAGUACGACCGCAAGGUUGAAACUCAAAGGAAUUGACGGGGGCCCGCACAAGCGGUGGAGCAUGUGGUUUAAUUCGAAGCAACGCGAAGAACCUUACCAGGUCUUGACAUCCCGAUGCUAUUUCUAGAGAUAGAAAGUUACUUCGGUACAUCGGUGACAGGUGGUGCAUGGUUGUCGUCAGCUCGUGUCGUGAGAUGUUGGGUUAAGUCCCGCAACGAGCGCAACCCCUAUUGUUAGUUGCCAUCAUUCAGUUGGGCACUCUAGCGAGACUGCCGGUAAUAAACCGGAGGAAGGUGGGGAUGACGUCAAAUCAUCAUGCCCCUUAUGACCUGGGCUACACACGUGCUACAAUGGUUGGUACAACGAGUUGCGAGUCGGUGACGGCAAGCUAAUCUCUUAAAGCCAAUCUCAGUUCGGAUUGUAGGCUGCAACUCGCCUACAUGAAGUCGGAAUCGCUAGUAAUCGCGGAUCAGCACGCCGCGGUGAAUACGUUCCCGGGCCUUGUACACACCGCCCGUCACACCACGAGAGUUUGUAACACCCGAAGUAAAUGAGGUAACCUUUUGGAGCCAGCCGCCUAA
Molecule: ribosomal RNA, 1453 nt
Filed under: uncultured organism
Description: SSU rRNA
Rfam family: Bacterial small subunit ribosomal RNA
Source: RNAcentral